Molecule: ribosomal RNA, 440 nt
Filed under: uncultured bacterium
Lineage: Bacteria
Description: partial 16S ribosomal RNA
Rfam family: Bacterial small subunit ribosomal RNA
Source: RNAcentral
CCUACGGGUGGCAGCAGUGGGGAAUAUUGCACAAUGGGGGGAACCCUGAUGCAGCGACGCCGCGUGAGUGACGCAGUAUUUCGGUAUGUAAAGCUCUAUCAGCAGGGAAGAAAAUGACGGUACCUGACUAAGAAGCCCCGGCUAACUACGUGCCAGCAGCCGCGGUAAUACGUAGGGGGCAAGCGUUAUCCGGAUUUACUGGGUGUAAAGGGAGCGCAGACGGCUGUGCAAGUCUGGAGUGAAAGGCGGGGGCCCAACCCCCGGACUGCUCUGGAAACUGUAAAGCUGGAGUGCAGGAGAGGUAAGCGGAAUUCCUAGUGUAGCGGUGAAAUGCGGAGAUAUUAGGAGGAACACCAGUGGCGAAGGCGGCUUACUGGACUGCAACUGACGUUGAGGCUCGAAAGCGUGGGGAGCAAACAGGAUUAGAUACCCCUGUAGUC